AGUGAACGCUGGCGGUAGGCCUAACACAUGCAAGUCGAACGGCAGCACAGUAAGAGCUUGCUCUUACGGGUGGCGAGUGGCGGACGGGUGAGGAAUAAAUCGGAAUCUACUUUUUCGUGGGGGAUAACGUAGGGAAACUUACGCUAAUACCGCAUACGACCUACGGGUGAAAGCAGGGGAUCUUUGGACCUUGCGCGAUUGAAUGAGCCGAUGUCGGAUUAGCUAGUUGGCGGGGUAAAGGCCCACCAAGGCGACGAUCCGUAGCUGGUCUGAGAGGAUGAUCAGCCACACUGGAACUGAGACACGGUCCAGACUCCUACGGGAGGCAGCAGUGGGGAAUAUUGGACAAUGGGCGCAAGCCUGAUCCAGCCAUACCGCGUGGGUGAAGAAGGCCUUCGGGUUGUAAAGCCCUUUUGUUGGGAAAGAAAAGCAGCAGGUUAAUACCCCGCUGUUCUGACGGUACCCAAAGAAUAAGCACCGGCUAACUUCGUG
This 492-nucleotide ribosomal RNA is filed under the name uncultured bacterium. RNAcentral describes it as "partial 16S ribosomal RNA". It matches the Rfam family "Bacterial small subunit ribosomal RNA", at positions 29 to 507 of the family's 1533-position model. The record is from RNAcentral.